RNAcentral lists this ribosomal RNA (339 nucleotides) under Triticum aestivum (bread wheat). RNAcentral describes it as "partial small subunit ribosomal RNA". The record is from RNAcentral. Lineage: Eukaryota; Viridiplantae; Streptophyta; Magnoliopsida; Poales; Poaceae.
UCUGAGCCUGAGUCCUGCUCACAUCUCUUUGUGCACUGCAAUUUCACCAAGCUAGUUUGGCUUCAUUUUAAGGCACGGACGAGGGCUGAUUUCCUGAUCCCUGAUGUUACCUUCAGCUCUACCGAAGAGUGGUGGUUGAAGGCAAGGGCGACGAUCCCGAAGCCAAUGUGGAGGAACUUCGACACGAUUGUCAUUCUUCUUCACUGGAGGAUUUGGAAGGAAAGGAACGCGAGGAUCUUUGAUAAUGUGGCAAGUUCCGCUGAUAAGAUUCGGGACCUGAUCCUGGAGGAUAUCGGCGUCUGGAGGGCCGCGGGUUGUAUUAGCGAUUUGGUGGCAUGA